UAUUGAAAAAGCUACUCAUAUGUGGUCUGAGAUGCUCCAGUGGAGGAUCAACUUUGGUGCUGAUACUAUCAUUCAUGAUUUUGUAUUUGAUGAACUCGACGAAGUCCUCCAUUAUUAAGAUUUUGAACUCUACGCCAUAGAUCGCCUCCGAGUCCUGCAGGGUAUUUCAGAUGGUUUG
Long non-coding RNA from Zingiber officinale, 178 nucleotides. RefSeq lists it as uncharacterized. The transcript is spliced from 3 exons. Lineage: Eukaryota; Viridiplantae; Streptophyta; Magnoliopsida; Zingiberales; Zingiberaceae. The record is from RefSeq and is a predicted model, not a curated record.